Molecule: long non-coding RNA, 1175 nt
Organism: Ochotona curzoniae (black-lipped pika)
Lineage: Eukaryota; Metazoa; Chordata; Mammalia; Lagomorpha; Ochotonidae
Exons: 3
Source: RefSeq, a predicted model, not a curated record
GCACCAUCAACACUACCGCAGCCAAGGAGCUGUGGGUUCCCCUCACGUCCAUCAGCUGGAGUGGCCACAUCCAAACUGGACAUUGGGAAGACUAAGACGUGGCAGUGAUGGACAUACAGCACAGGCCCUCAGCAAGGAAAGGGGAAAAAAGACUGGAAGACAGAUCUCAAGAAACUAUAGUUUGGAGACACAUGAAGAUGGAGAAUGAGUUACAGACUGAGAAGGUCUGACACCUCUGCAGGAGCGGAAGUGGGAGCUGGGAGGUAACAGCUGAAAACUCUAGAGCCAAAGACUUGAGUAAGUUUGGGAGCAGUAAGCCUACGCUGUGGAGUCCCCGUAGCUAAAUGCAAGCAAAGGGCUGGAAACAGGCAUGUCAGUCAGUGGAGGAACAGCAUACCACCCCAUGCGCUCAAGUCCCUGGCACAACCAGCUCUCAGUCAGGACAUGGGGAAGCAGGUUUGCAGAACUUGCCAUCACAGCCCUGUUCUGCCUGUACCUCUAAGUGAUGCUGUUUAAUGUGGGGAGAAGGCUCUGAGGGCCCCAACAAGGAGCUCAGUGAACGCGGGGACCCGGAUGCUGAUAGGCACCCCUGGGCAUCUGCACAAGACACUGUGGAGCUCACUGGGUACCUGCACAGAAUCCACAGUGUCUCCACGCUCAAAGCUCUCAAGUCAUUUAGGAUGUCCAACAGGAGGUGGACUGUGUCUUUUUAGGGGAACAAGACAAGAACAAAAUCUUUUCAUUUACAGGUGCAACAUCUUCCCUGCAGAUUCUGAGCUGUGCGUGUGAAGCCCACGGACGUGCAAGGCUGACUGCACCAAUAAGGACCGCAUUAAAAACACAUGUCAUUGGCGGGGAGGGUACAAAAAAAAAGCCUCAGCUGGGAAGGAGUGGGGAACUAAACUCUAUGAAGGUCUUUGAUGUUUUCAGAAAGGGAAUUCUGACUCUGCUAAGGCUGCGUGGUACAAUAUCAAGGUAACCUGCAACCCAGCCUGGUGGAGCAGAAGUGGGAGAAAAGACAAAGCAGAACACCAGGGAAGAAGCACAAAAGUAAACAAGUCUCUGUUUGAGCCAUUCAGGUCUGAGCAGCUCAGCGACUGUCGUCUACGGGGACGGGCCGCAGUGGCGCCUGCGCUACGAGGGGCUCAGGUGCUCAGUUCACAUCCUGGCUGCUG